Molecule: non-coding RNA, 581 nt
Filed under: Lepisosteus oculatus (spotted gar)
Lineage: Eukaryota; Metazoa; Chordata; Actinopteri; Semionotiformes; Lepisosteidae
Description: Eukaryotic large subunit ribosomal RNA
Rfam family: Eukaryotic large subunit ribosomal RNA
Source: Rfam by way of RNAcentral
AAAAGACGCUGUUGAGCUUGACUCUAGUCUGGCACUGUGAAGAGACAUGAGAGGUGUAGAAUAGGAAGGAGGCCCCAUCCCGGGGGCGCCACUGCUGAAAUACCACUAUUCUUAUCGUUUCCUCACUUACCUGGCGAGGUGGGAGGGCGAGUCUCUUGUUUCUGGCACCCGCUGGCCACGGCCCACUCCGGAGACAGUGGCAGGUGGGGAGUUUGACUGGGGCGGUAUACCUCUCAAAUGGUAACGCAGGUAUUCUAAGGCGAGCUCAGGGAGGACAGAAACCUCCCAUGGAGCAGAAGGGCAAAAGCUCGCUUGAUCUUGAUUUUCAGUAUGAAUAUAGACUGCAAAAGUGGGGCCUCAGGAUCCUUCUGACUUUUGGGGUUUCAAGAAGGAGGUGUCAGAAAAGUUACCACUGGAUAACUGGCUUGUGGCGGCCAAGCGUUCAUAGUGACAUUGCUUUUUGAUCCUUCGAUGUCAGCUCUUCCUGUCAUUGAGAAGCAGAAUUCACCAAGCGUUGAAUUGUUCACCCACUAAUAGGGAACGUGAGCUGGGUUUAGACCGUCGUGUUGCUGGGUCUGGGU